RNAcentral lists this ribosomal RNA (467 nucleotides) under uncultured bacterium. RNAcentral's name for it is "partial 16S ribosomal RNA". It matches the Rfam family "Bacterial small subunit ribosomal RNA", at positions 28 to 507 of the family's 1533-position model. The record is from RNAcentral.
GAUGAACGCUGGCGGCGUGCUUAACACAUGCAAGUCGAACGGAAAGGCCCAAACUUGCUUGGUUUCUCGAGUGGCGAACGGGUGUGUAACACGUGUGUGAUCUGCCCUUCACUUCGGGGUAAGCCUGGGAAACUGGGUCUCAUACCGGAGAUGACCACAUGAUGGAUGGUGUUGUGGAGAGAUUUGCGGUGUUGGCUUAGCUCGCAGAGGAUCAGCCUGUUGAUGGGGUAAUGGCGUACCAAGCCGUCGACGGGUAGCCGGCCUGAGAGGGUGUAGGGCCGCACUGGGACUGUGAGACAGGCCAGAGUCGGACAGGAGGCAGCAGUGGGGAAUAUUGCACAAUGGGAGCAAGCCUGAUGCAGCGACGCCGCGUGGGGGAUGAAGGCCUUCGGGUGGGAAACACCUUUCGCUAGGGAAGAAGCGUUGUUGUGACGGUACCUGGAGAAGAAGCACCGGCUAACUACGUG